UUAUUGGAGAGUUUGAUCCUGGCUCAGGACGAACGCUGGCGGCAUGCCUAAUACAUGCAAGUCGAGCGGAGUUGAUAGGAAGCUUGCUUCCUUGAUACUUAGCGGCGGACGGGUGAGUAACACGUAGGCAACCUGCCCUCAAGUUUGGGACAACUACCGGAAACGGUAGCUAAUACCGAAUAGUUGUUUUCUUCGCCUGAAGGAAACUG
This 209-nucleotide ribosomal RNA is filed under the name Paenibacillus sp. ClWae2A. RNAcentral's name for it is "partial 16S ribosomal RNA". It matches the Rfam family "Bacterial small subunit ribosomal RNA", at positions 1 to 202 of the family's 1533-position model. Lineage: Bacteria; Bacillati; Bacillota; Bacilli; Caryophanales; Paenibacillaceae. The record is from RNAcentral.